GACGAACGCUGGCGGCGUGCUUAACACAUGCAAGUCGAACGGAAAGGCCCUGCUUUUGUGGGGUGCUCGAGUGGCGAACGGGUGAGUAACACGUGAGUAACCUGCCCUUGACUUUGGGAUAACUUCAGGAAACUGGGGCUAAUACCGGAUAGGAGCUCCUGCUGCAUGGUGGGGGUUGGAAAGUUUCGGCGGUUGGGGAUGGACUCGCGGCUUAUCAGCUUGUUGGUGGGGUAGUGGCUUACCAAGGCUUUGACGGGUAGCCGGCCUGGGAGGGUGGACGGGCCACAUGGGACUGAGAUACGGCCCAGACUCCUACGGGAGGCAGCAGUGGGGAAUAUUGCACAAUGGGCGGAAGCCUGAUGCAGCAACGCCGCGUGCGGGAUGACGGCCUUCGGGUUGUAAACCGCUUUCGCCUGUGACGAAGCGUGAGUGACGGUAAUGGGUAAAGAAGCACCGGCUAACUACGUG
RNAcentral lists this ribosomal RNA (468 nucleotides) under uncultured bacterium. RNAcentral's name for it is "partial 16S ribosomal RNA". It matches the Rfam family "Bacterial small subunit ribosomal RNA", at positions 28 to 507 of the family's 1533-position model. The record is from RNAcentral.